GAGUGAGGGAGUGACAGGUGACAGAGUGAGGGAGUGACAGGUGACAGAGUGAGUGACUAGUGACAGAGUGAGGGAAGGGGUGACUGUCACUAGUCACCCCAUCCCUCUGUCACUAGUCACUCCCUCCUAACUGUGUCACCUGCUCCCUCACUCUGUCACUAGUCACCCCUCCCUCACUCUGUCACUAAUCACCCCCUCUCUCACUCUGUCACCAGUCAUCCCUUCCUUCCCUCACUCUGCCACUAGUCAUCCCUUCCCUCACUC
Pelobates cultripes (western spadefoot toad) is the source of this 264-nucleotide non-coding RNA. Lineage: Eukaryota; Metazoa; Chordata; Amphibia; Anura; Pelobatidae. The record is from the annotation of a GenBank genome assembly.